UCCCUGGUGGCUCAGAGGGUAAAGCGUCUGCCUACAACGCAGGACACCCGGGGUUCAAUCCCUGGGUAGGGAA
Molecule: transfer RNA, 73 nt
Filed under: Bos taurus (domestic cattle)
Lineage: Eukaryota; Metazoa; Chordata; Mammalia; Artiodactyla; Bovidae
Also listed under: 1 other name
Rfam family: tRNA
About the family: Transfer RNA (tRNA) molecules are approximately 80 nucleotides in length.
Source: Rfam by way of RNAcentral